GCCAGCCCGCUCAGAAACUUAAGGAAUUGACGGGGCCGCACAAGCGGAGGAGCAUGUGGUUUAAUUCGAUGAUACGCGAGGAACCUUACCUGGGCUCGAACGUAAGAUGACUGUAGGUGAAAGCUUACAUCUCUUCGGAGCAUUUUACGAGGUGCUGCAUGGUUGUCGUCAGCUCGUGCCGUGAGGUGUCGGGUUAAGUCCCAUAACGAGCGCAACCCUACCUUUAGUUGCCAUCAGGUAAUGCUGGGGACUCUAAAGGAACUGCCUACGCAAGUAGUGAGGAAGGCGGGGAUGACGUCAAAUCAGCACGGCCCUUACGUCCAGGGCUACACACGUGCUACAAUGGCCGAUACAGAGGGCAGCUACCUGGUGACAGGAUGCAAAUCUCCAAAGUCGGUCUCAGUUCGGAUCGGAGUCUGCAACCCGACUCCGUGAAGUUGGAUUCGCUAGUAAUCGCGCAUCAGCCAUGGCGCGGUGAAUACGUUCCCGGGCCUU
This 495-nucleotide ribosomal RNA is filed under the name uncultured Sphingobacteriales bacterium. RNAcentral describes it as "bacterial SSU rRNA". It matches the Rfam family "Bacterial small subunit ribosomal RNA", at positions 904 to 1382 of the family's 1533-position model. The record is from RNAcentral. Lineage: Bacteria; Pseudomonadati; Bacteroidota; Sphingobacteriia; Sphingobacteriales.